CUUAGAUUUUGGUACCGUGGUAGUCUGUAUUACCUUGCGCGAGUAAUUUCUGCUUUCUCCUACUGAUCCUCCACCGAAGAUUAAAUUUAUCACCCUUCUUUUGUGGUCAGUGUCUGACUCGGGACUCCUUGAGCGUUGGCGCUUACCCUUGUUUUUUGGGUCCUUGCCGCCUUGUCGCCCCCUUUCUAUUUUGUUUAUGUAUUGUUUCAGCUUUCCUUCCUUCACUUGUGUGUCUAGGAAGGUAUUUAGCUCCCUG
Molecule: long non-coding RNA, 256 nt
Filed under: Zostera marina
Lineage: Eukaryota; Viridiplantae; Streptophyta; Magnoliopsida; Alismatales; Zosteraceae
Description: long non-coding RNA (ZMAR_LNC000750)
Source: RNAcentral